AUUGAACGCUGGCGGCAGGCCUAACACAUGCAAGUCGAACGAGUGGCGGACGGGGGAGUAAUGUCUGGGAAACUGCCCGAGGGAGGGGGAUAACUACAGGAAAAGGUAGCUAAUACCGCAUACCACAGGAUGUGCCCAUAUGGGAUUAGCUAGUAGGUGGGGUAACGGCUCACCUGGGCGACGAUCCCUAGCUGGUCUGAGAGGAUGACCAGCCACACUGGAACUGAGACACGGUCCAGACUCCUACGGGAGGCAGCAGUGGGGAAUAUUGCACAAUGGGCGCAAGCCUGAUGCAGCCAUGCCGCGUGUAUGAAGAAGGCCUUCGGGUUGUAAAGUACUUUCAGCGAGGAGGCGUUACUCGCAGAAGAAGCACCGGCUAACUCCGUGCCAGCAGCCGCGGUAAUUC
RNAcentral lists this ribosomal RNA (406 nucleotides) under uncultured bacterium. Its description in RNAcentral is "partial 16S ribosomal RNA". It matches the Rfam family "Bacterial small subunit ribosomal RNA", at positions 30 to 526 of the family's 1533-position model. The record is from RNAcentral.